CACGGCUCACAGCAGCCCCCUGGGACGCGCUGCCUCAGGCAGCUGGAGGGACAGCCUGAGCCCCUCACUGGGGCUGCUGUGGGGAGGAGGCCACUGCUGCCACCUGCUCGUAGGCUGCUAGAGAGAGGAGAGGGCUCUGAGCUGUGCACCUGGCCCUGAGGGACCCAGGCAUCCCCGGUCCCUGGGAGCUCCCAGAUACAUGUACACCCAGGGAAGAACGAGUGACACACAUUAAGGGCUCAGCCACAAAGGUAAAAAGCCUGUGAGAGCAUCCAGUCCAUCCCGGACAUUCUCAGAAAUACAAGCAAGGAACACAGCAUGGAGCCCAGCACCAGGAGAAUCUUGGAAUUUUGCCCCUCUCUUACUGCUGUGUCUAAACUUUUGUAGGUAUGAAACACAUUUAGAAAGCUUUUUAAAUGUCAUUUUAUGAUAAUUUUAGCAAAGGUUUCGGUUGCUACUAAUUUCAAUUGAUUUUCCUCAUUACAGGUCCUACUUCCUGCUUCUUUGUGUGAUUGGGAGUCUUUGAUUGACAGAAAUUAUGAAUUUUACCUCUUGGUUGUCAGAUAUCUUUUAUUCUAUAAAUAAAAUAUCUUUGGAACUUUGUUCUGGGAUGUACA
Molecule: long non-coding RNA, 617 nt
Filed under: Chinchilla lanigera (long-tailed chinchilla)
Lineage: Eukaryota; Metazoa; Chordata; Mammalia; Rodentia; Chinchillidae
Description: lncRNA (ENSCLAG00000023139.1)
Source: RNAcentral